RNAcentral lists this ribosomal RNA (748 nucleotides) under uncultured bacterium. RNAcentral describes it as "bacterial SSU rRNA". It matches the Rfam family "Bacterial small subunit ribosomal RNA", at positions 28 to 765 of the family's 1533-position model. The record is from RNAcentral.
UGUGAAGAUUGGUGGUAUGCUCUUACACAUGCUAGUCGAACGGCAGCAUGAUCUAGCUUGCUAGAUUGAUGGCGAGUGGCGAACGGGUGAGUAAUACAUCGGAACGUGCCCUGUAGUGGGGGAUAACUAGUCGAAAGAUUAGCUAAUACCGCAUACGACCUGAGGGUGAAAGUGGGGGACCGCAAGGCCUCAUGCUAUAGGAGCGGCCGAUGUCUGAUUAGCUAGUUGGUGGGGUAAAGGCCCACCAAGGCGACGAUCAGUAGCUGGUCUGAGAGGACGAUCAGCCACACUGGGACUGAGACACGGCCCAGACUCCUACGGGAGGCAGCAGUGGGGAAUUUUGGACAAUGGGCGAAAGCCUGAUCCAGCAAUGCCGCGUGUGUGAAGAAGGCCUUCGGGUUGUAAAGCACUUUUGUCCGGAAAGAAAUGGCUCUGGUUAAUACCUGGGGUCGAUGACGGUACCGGAAGAAUAAGGACCGGCUAACUACGUGCCAGCAGCCGCGGUAAUACGUAGGGUCCAAGCGUUAAUCGGAAUUACUGGGCGUAAAGCGUGCGCAGGCGGUUGUGCAAGACCGAUGUGAAAUCCCCGAGCUUAACUUGGGAAUUGCAUUGGUGACUGCACGGCUAGAGUGUGUCAGAGGGGGGUAGAAUUCCACGUGUAGCAGUGAAAUGCGUAGAGAUGUGGAGGAAUACCGAUGGCGAAGGCAGCCCCCUGGGAUACACUGACGCUCAUGCACGAAAGCGUGGG